CUGUAGAGGCCUGGAGAAGCUGGCCUGCCUUGACUUUCAAUAUGGCCCUAGGAGAACUCUUGGUGUUAUAAUGAACGGAAUGGUUAUGUUUACUGUUUGAAUAUUUUUAUGCUGUUUUCAAUAAGAAUGUUCUAAUUGUUCCUGAGUGCAUCAAAAUAAAUAGUAGUAGAUGCUUUGAGAUUGCUCAUUUAAUGAUCCCUUAAUUUAUGUAUUUUCUCUUUAAAAAAGAACUUCCUUAUCUUUUGAAUCCAUGCAGACAAAUAUUUAAAAUGAUGAGCUCAACAGUUAAUGGAGACAUAAUCUUGAAAUCAUGCAGCGAAUGUGAUUGCUAGGGCACAUGCUCUCAGCUACUGCUCCAGCAGCGUGCCUGCCUGCUUCUGUGCUCCUGCCACACUGGACACUGAUUUCCUACUGGAAACUGUUAAGCGGCCUCCAGUUAGAUGCUUCCUAGUGGCUCUUCACAGGAAUAGAAAAGUAAUAAGAUAUUGUUACCUAUCCAAUUGGAAUUUAUAGACAGUGCAAUCUAUUUGUCCCCCUUGGAUUAUGAGCAUUCAGAAUUAGUACUUAUAUUCUCCUUAUAUGAUGGUAGUCAACCGCCUACUGCACACACAAAGCCUGUUAUUGUCUGUCAGGAUAUGGUGCGUGGUGCCCAAGGAAUGUGGCUGAGAACCAGGGUUCUGGUACCUAGAUUUGCUCUAAUGCAGACACUGAGGUUCCAUAUAGCAUUUUUCUUCUUCUUUCUAGAACUAGAUCCUAAGAGCAGAAGACAAUCAUAUGUCCUGAGAACCCAUUGGAGGUUGAACGCUGCUGGGUGGAUGGAGAAAGGCAGAAAUGCAGAAUUUCGUCAUUGCCUGGAUGCUGACUUUAUCCAAAGAGAAGAUGCAUGAGGAGUGUACAUGCCUCAGAACUGGAUGCUGAGACAUGCCCCCGCGAUCCCAAGACCACCAGGUACCGUGAGCAAUCACUGGAGCUGGAACACUGCUGCCUGAAGAAGAAAAGAAGUGCAGGCUUGUCAUUGUCUAUGCUGUUACUUGUGGUUCCCAGGUCUUCAGAGAGGAUGCACAAAGACGGGAGGCAGACUGGCAUCACAGGACCCUUCCGAGUAUUAACGCAGACCCUGGUGACAGAGGUCCAGUACCAAGUGCGCAGCUGUGCUGAGGUGCAGGGACAGGAGGCAGAAGGGCAGGUUCCAGCCCGCUCAGCUGGCCAUGGUAAGAUACUAGCUGGUGUCCUAGGGCAGCAAGGCGCCUCCCUCUCCAGGUUCUGAAGAGAAAACACUGCAGUCUGAGUUUCUGUUGGGACCUGAGCAGAAGACAAGGAAGCCCAGCUAGGCACCCACAGCUGCUCCUGCUCUCUGUAAUCGGCCGCCAUCUUCCUUCAUUCUUUCAUGACUGAGGUGCGCGUACAGGAAGCAGAGGGGCAGGUUCCACCCCGCUCAGCUGGCCAUGGUAAUCUACUUGCUGGUGUCCUACUCUCCCGGUUCUGAAGAGAAAACACUGCAGUCUGAGUUUCUGUUGGGGCCUGAGGAGUAGUCAAGGAAGCCCAGCUAGGCACUCACAGCUGCUCCUGCUGUCUGUAAUUGGUCGCCAUCUUCCGCCAUUGCUAGGAAUCAUGGGCAGGAGGAGAGUGGCCCUGUGAGUUUUGAAACCGUGUCCUCAUGGUGGCAGUAGAGCUCCAAACAAGAGCUUGUGAGUGCUUCUCCCCCGCCCUUCCUGUCUGAAAAAACUCCAAAGAUGGCUGUCCUAACUUUUUAUUUUGAUUUUUCUUUAUUUUUCCAGACAGGAUUUUGCUGUAUAGCCCUGGCUGUCCUAGAACUCACUUUGUACAACAGGUUGGCAUCGAACUCAGAAAUCCACCUGCCUCUGCCUCCCGAGUGCUGGGAUUAAUGGUGUGCACCACUAUGCCCUGCUGUCUGCCCUAACUUUUACCCAGCUUUGAAUAGUUUCAACUGUAUUUUAUUUUUUUGUCACAUGUUCCAUGUGAAGCCAAUCUGAGGCCCUAGGUAAUGGGACUAUUUUCCUUCAGUUAUGUAGGGUUUUUCCUUUUUCUCCCUUUAUAAUUGUUGAUUUUUUCUUUUUCAGAUACUUAAUGGUUUUCAUAAAAUUUUGAUAUGUUUAAUUUUGUGUCAGUUUUACAUGAUAAAGAUAUGGUAGCAGAUUUAGAAGCCAAGGACUAUGCUGAGCCCUAGUCCUAGUGAACUACAAGAGGCUGGAUGGCCUGGGCCUUUCCAGUAGGCUUCUGUCUUUUCGUCUGGGAGUUCCAGAAUAGUCCAUGCUACCAUACCCAGAGGACAGGAGUAGGUUUAACUUUGUCUUAAGUAAACUAUCAAUAAACAAACACUUGCCAGUUGAUAAUUAUAUCUC
This 2363-nucleotide long non-coding RNA is filed under the name Mus spicilegus (steppe mouse). Its description in RNAcentral is "lncRNA (ENSMSIG00000029852.1)". The record is from RNAcentral. Lineage: Eukaryota; Metazoa; Chordata; Mammalia; Rodentia; Muridae.